GCCCCGGUGGUGUAGCGGUUAUCAUACGGGCCUGUCGAGCCCGUGACUCGGGUUCAAAUCCCGACCGGGGCG
RNAcentral lists this transfer RNA (72 nucleotides) under Thermoplasmata archaeon. Its description in RNAcentral is "tRNA-Asp". It matches the Rfam family "tRNA". Rfam says of the family: Transfer RNA (tRNA) molecules are approximately 80 nucleotides in length. Their secondary structure includes four short double-helical elements and three loops (D, anti-codon, and T loops). The record is from RNAcentral. Lineage: Archaea; Methanobacteriati; Thermoplasmatota; Thermoplasmata. RNAcentral also lists the same sequence under 2 other names.